RNAcentral lists this transfer RNA (69 nucleotides) under Notothenia rossii (marbled rockcod). Its description in RNAcentral is "tRNA-Arg". It matches the Rfam family "tRNA". Rfam says of the family: Transfer RNA (tRNA) molecules are approximately 80 nucleotides in length. Their secondary structure includes four short double-helical elements and three loops (D, anti-codon, and T loops). Lineage: Eukaryota; Metazoa; Chordata; Actinopteri; Perciformes; Nototheniidae. The record is from RNAcentral.
AGACAAUUAGUUUAAGAAAAACAUUUGGUUUCGGCCCAAAAGCUUGUGGUUUAAGUCCAUAAUUACCUA